This 103-nucleotide microRNA precursor is filed under the name Marmota monax (woodchuck). Lineage: Eukaryota; Metazoa; Chordata; Mammalia; Rodentia; Sciuridae. The record is from RNAcentral.
UUGUAAAGACUGCCUCUCUCUCUCUCUCUCUCUCUCUCUCUAUAUAUAUAUAUAUAUAUAUAUAUAUAUAGAGAGAGAGAGAGAGAGAGAGAUAAUAGAUAAU